Molecule: long non-coding RNA, 2163 nt
Organism: Oncorhynchus tshawytscha (Chinook salmon)
Lineage: Eukaryota; Metazoa; Chordata; Actinopteri; Salmoniformes; Salmonidae
Source: Ensembl
CAUACAUCACAGCAACAUUGUUACUUUAUAUUUUCUUUAUUCAUCAUGUCAUCAUUUUACAAAUUACAAUAUGAAGGACUAACAAAAUGUAUUUAUUUAUGUGGCAGCAUUGAACUAUUUGGAAGUAAUUCACUCGCUUUCUGUGGCAAGGCAGCACUCAUGAAAUUCAAAUCAAACCAUUCCGUAGCUUAGCAGAAUAAUAGAAAGUUAAAGUGCACCAUCAACGAGUGUGAAUGUUGAUCCAAACAUUCGCUCUCUUCCUGAUUGAGCUAGUAAUCAAUUGACACCAAAUGAAUGACACCUAAUAGUUUCACAAGCCCCCGUCUCCUCAAUGACUUGCGCAAAUCAGACUUUCCUAACAAUAAUUUAACUUUCAUGACAAUAAGAGACGUAUUAGUUAAGCAUGUACUUAAUAUGGAAACCGUAGUGCAGAUCUCAAGUAAGAAUACCAAAAAUACAGGGUGAGCAUGAGAUGGUUUGGCCAAGUCAGAGGGAGAUGGUUUGGCCCAGUCAGAGGGAGAUGGUUUGGCCCAGUCAGGGGAUCCUUUAAUACCACUGGUGGUUCAGUCCCUUUACAGGUUACUGUUGCCACCUGCAACACUGUUGCUACUCUCUAUGCAUACACAGCACACAUUUUUCACCCUACAGCACAAGGGAAAUAGCUUGGUCCCAGAUCUGUUUGUGCUGCUUAGCUGAGAGUUGGCUAUUCAGCACUAACAGAUCUGGGACCAGGCUACAGGGGAAAAUACAAUAAUCACAAAUGGGGAAAGUUGCUUUCGUCUCUGAUUUCAUUGUACCAGUAAAUCAAGAAUGAGAUAUCCAUCUUCAAUUUCAAAUCAAAUACAGUCAAACUUUGAUAUAUUAAUUUCCAAAAUGCAUAAAAUGACAUUCUAGUAUGUGUUAUCACAAUUUUCAAUUUUUGGUCUUCCUGCAGUCAAAUUACCUAGUGGCCUCAUGGGUGGAAUGUUAUAAAUAUUAUGCAUUAUUUAUUCAUUAUUCAUAAUUAAUAAACGUCUAUUUUUUUCAUGCCAAAAACUCUGUGUUUCUAUUCCAGCGUUUUCUAUUUAUUUAUUUAAUAUUUCAGUUUUCUGUGAUGUAUAUAAAGUUAAUAUUAGGAUGCAGAUUCAAAAUGUUAUACAACUCUAUAUCUGAUUUGGAACAGGUGUAUACUAUUGUUUCAAAGUAGUAUUACUUUAAAACUACCAAGAAACACUCUGCAUGACCCUGAAUUAGCCCACUGCAGUAAAAGGUAAAUGUAACUAUGGACUUGUUUUAAGAGUUGGCUACCAGGGAAAAAUCAAGAUUUCAUUCUGUACAAGCUGAACUAUAAUUUCACUUGACUAGGAAAGAUAAAUACAAAAACAAUACAACAAAACUGAGUAUUCAGUCACCAUUCUGUAACAGUUGUUCACGUUUUGGAUACAAACUUGGCAUGUAAAACAAAAACAGAAGCAUUGCACUUAACGCAGACUCACACGUAACUUAUGGAAUUGGGGUUACAAAUGAAACACCUUGGGUGUGGGCUCACAACACAUUGAGUGUUAAGAAAAUAGUGUGUUUCUUACUGUGUAAUGGUGAAACAGAAUACAAAGGGAGUUUUUUUACUAGAAAAAGCAAAUCAGUGCCUUUGGCAGUGCUGGAUUUUCCACAGUGGGGAUCUCUAGUGUAUAUGAAGCCAAAGCUAUGGCAAAUACACUCCUUCAUGAACACGGUACCCUUUCUGUUUCUCUGUCUGCAUCCCAAAUGGUAUCCUAUUCCCUAUUCCAAUGUAGUGCACUACUUUUGACCAGGGCCCAUAGGGCUCCAGUCAAAAGUAGUACACUAUGUAGGGAACAGUGUGCCUCUGUGUAACUUACCACCCCAAUCUUACAUAUUAACUGAAUAGGACUCAUCACAUUUCAUGAAUAUGCACACUUCUCCCAGGCAACUCUCAUGAACAUUGCACCGUAUGAAGAUGAAAUUGAUGAAACUUGGGCCUGUGAGGCUUCGAAGACGAGGGUUGCAACAAACCGACUCAUCAGGCAUCAUGUUAAAACAGCAAAUCUUCAUCUAUUCAGUCAUAAGUCAAGCACAGCCACUGCUUUCCUCCCAAGCUUCUGUUCCGAUCACUGGGAAAGGCAUGAUUUUCUGCACACAGUUUUGCCUUGAAGAAUGGGCAAAAAU